Molecule: ribosomal RNA, 253 nt
Filed under: uncultured bacterium
Lineage: Bacteria
Description: partial 16S ribosomal RNA
Rfam family: Bacterial small subunit ribosomal RNA
Source: RNAcentral
UACGUAGGGAGCAAGCGUUGUCCGGAAUCGUUGGGCGUAAAGCGCGCGUAGGUGGCCCUGUAAGUCCGCUCUGAAAGUCGAAGGCUCAACCUUCGAAAGCGGGUGGAUACUGCAGGGCUAGAGUCCGGAAGAGGCGAGUGGAAUUCCUGGUGUAGCGGUGGAAUGCGCAGAUAUCAGGAGGAACACCAACGGCGAAGGCAGCUCGCUGGGACGGUACUGACACUGAGGCGCGAAAGCGUGGGGAGCAAACGGG